RNAcentral lists this unclassified non-coding RNA (329 nucleotides) under soil metagenome. RNAcentral's name for it is "partial contains 5.8S ribosomal RNA, internal transcribed spacer 2, and large subunit ribosomal RNA". The stretch from base 1 to 120 matches the Rfam family "5.8S ribosomal RNA", at positions 35 to 154 of the family's 154-position model. The record is from RNAcentral.
GAUGAAGAACGCAGCGAAAUGCGAUAAGUAAUGCGAAUUGCAGAAUUCAGUGAAUCAUCGAAUCUUUGAACGCACAUUGCGCCCUCUGGUAUUCCGGGGGGCAUGCCUGUUCGAGCGUCAUUAUAACCACUCAAGCUCUCGCUUGGUAUUGGGGUUCGCGGUUUCGCGGCCCCUAAAAUCAGUGGCGGUGCCUGUCGGCUCUACGCGUAGUAAUACUUCUCGCGAUUGAGUUCGAUAGGUCUACUUGCCAGUAACCCCCAAUUUUUACAGGUUGACCUCGGAUCAGGUAGGGAUACCCGCUGAACUUAAGCAUAUCAAUAAGCGGAGGA